Podarcis lilfordi (Lilford's wall lizard) is the source of this 121-nucleotide non-coding RNA. The record is from the annotation of a GenBank genome assembly. NCBI's taxonomy places the organism in Eukaryota, Metazoa, Chordata, Lepidosauria, Squamata, Lacertidae.
AGACUUGCAUUGCCCACAAAGACUUUCAGAGACCUAUAGACUUAUAUUUAUUUGGUUCUAUGUUUUCUAGAUAAAUAUAAGUCUAUAGGUCUCUGAAAGUCUUUGUGGGCAAUGCAAGUCU